CAUCGUGCCGAGAGGACGUGCGCCGCGGACUCUUGUAGUGAACUAUAGUGAAACGUGGCGUGUGAAAAAACCUAGACUUCCAUAUCGGGCUAUUCGUUUUUUUUCUCUUUCCUUUACCCUACGUUCCAUUCCCUAUUUAUCCCCUUUUUUCCCUCGUCGUCAAGGCAAGAAGUGAGUGCUUAUUUCCUCCAGUGAAACAUCAAUUUAAGUGUUAAAAAUAUAUAUACCUCGGAAAAUAUAUUAAUAAGACACACCAUGUACACUAAAAAGUAGAAAAUAAAUUAGACAA
Portunus trituberculatus (swimming crab) is the source of this 289-nucleotide long non-coding RNA. RefSeq lists it as uncharacterized. The transcript is spliced from 2 exons. The record is from RefSeq and is a predicted model, not a curated record. Lineage: Eukaryota; Metazoa; Arthropoda; Malacostraca; Decapoda; Portunidae.